RNAcentral lists this unclassified non-coding RNA (661 nucleotides) under Hevea brasiliensis (rubber tree). Lineage: Eukaryota; Viridiplantae; Streptophyta; Magnoliopsida; Malpighiales; Euphorbiaceae. The record is from RNAcentral.
UGGUAGAAGAAAACCCGAGGUAGAUCCAAGAUUUGAACGGGAUUGAGAUUGGAAAUUUAUCCAAAACCUAUUUUGAUAUACGGGGUCUCAAGAUAUAAUAUUAUUUGUACUUAUUUAGUGAACUGUUUAAUACAUACAAGGUUUGAGCCAAAGUUACUAGGUUCAGAUAAACCCGUAACGAGCACUAGAUCUGUCUCGGGAGGAAACUAGCGUGCGGGUUUCAGUUGACGAGCACACUCCUCCUGUGGAAGGGAAACAGAUUGCCAACCAGUGCAAAUGUGGAGAAUACCUUUGAGAGAGUCUGAGGCUGGUUCCAGUGUCCAGACAGGGUAAAAUUCACUUGGAUGAAAAACACACUCUCCACCAAUACCAGUUAACAAACUCCCUUGAGCUCCAUUCAGAAACAUGUCCCCUUCUGAUCUGAUUAAACCACUUCUUGCUUCCUCCUUAUCUGCUGCCUUCUCUGUGUAGUAUUCGAAAGCUUUUUUCUUCUGUGAAGCUUCAUAUAUGUUGCAUUGAGAAUAUAUCUGUGAUUCUACACUAGCACAAAUAGCAUAUAUACCCCAAUUUCUAGUGUAAUUGUUGUACAGAUGAACUUUACCAAAUCUAACACGAGGUUGCCUCUGCCUCGUUCCAUCGAAAAAGCAAUGGUGGAUGGUCA